RNAcentral lists this ribosomal RNA (3009 nucleotides) under Wickerhamomyces canadensis. RNAcentral's name for it is "large subunit ribosomal RNA". The stretch from base 17 to 2695 matches the Rfam family "Bacterial large subunit ribosomal RNA". The record is from RNAcentral. Lineage: Eukaryota; Fungi; Ascomycota; Saccharomycetes; Phaffomycetales; Wickerhamomycetaceae.
AUAGAUUUGAAAAGUGUUAUACGGCAUUAAAGGGUUAUUCAAGGAAUAUAUUACUAUUAAUAAGGAAAGGUUACUAAUAAUUAAAUAAUAUUUAAUUUAAAACCUAAGGUAAACCAUAGAAAAAAACGUGAAGAACUGAAUCAUCUAAGUAUUCAUAGGAAAAGAAAUCAAAAGAGAUAUUAUGAGUAAUUGGCGAAUGAAAAUAAUAAAGUUAAAAAAGUAAGUAAUCCCUUUAGGGGGAUGAAUAAAGAUUAAACUAAAUCUAAAACUAAAUAUUAUUAAUAAGUAUAAAAAGUACCGAAAGGGAAAAUAUAGAAAUGGAUAAUUUAUAAGCAGUAUGAGACUUUAAAAAAGUUUAAUACGUACCUUUUGUAUAAUGGGCCAGCAAGUAAUAAUAAUUAGCAAAAUAUUAAAAAUAUUAAAUAUAAAUAGAAUAUAUAAUAAAUUAUUAUUAAAUAAUUUGAAUAAUGUAAAAAAGUUAAUUAUUAUUGGCCCGAAAAUAAAAGAUCUUAUUAUUACAAGAUAUAUAAUAAAUUAUAUAUUAUAUAUUUAAUAUAUAAUGAAUUUAUUGAUCGAAUGAGUUAAUGUUGCAAUAUUAUUCAAUUAGUGAUGAUAAGUAAGUGAAAGACUAACCUGUUUUAUAGAUAGCUGGUUCUCUGUGAAAUAUAUGUUAGUAUAGUGGUUAAUGAAAGAUUAUUAUAUGGUAUAGCAAUUAAUAUUUAAAUUUAUUAUUAUUUAUAAUAAUAAAUAUGGGGGUCAAUUAUAGACUUAUCAUGUAUAUUUAAUCUCAUAAUAAUAUAAUAUCAUUAUUAAUUAAUAAAAUAAUUAAUAAAAAAAUUAACUAAUCAGACUGUAUGCGAUAAGGUAUAUAGUCGAGAGGGAAACAGCCCUAAAUAAAAUAUAAGGUUCUAAAAUAUAAAUUAAGUGAAUAAAAUGUAUAAUAAAUUCAUAAUCAAUUAGUUGGUGGGUUUGACAAUAACUAUCCUAUAAUGAACAUGUAACAAUGCACUAAUAAAUAAAUAUAAAGAAAUUUUAUACAGAUAAUACACGGAUCUUAAAAAUAUAUUUUUUUAAUUAAAGAUAUAUUAUAAAUUUAUUACCGAAGAUUUAUAUAUUUAUAUAUAUAAAAACAAAUAUAUAAAUAUAGUAACAGAGCAUAUAAUAAAUAAAAUAUAAUAGUUAGAUAAAUUAUUAUAAAAAUUAAAUAAAAAUAAUAUUUAAUAAAUAUUAAUUAUAUUGAGAAUGCUGGCAUGAGUAGCGAAAAAUAAGUAAUAAAAAUUAUAAACUUAUUCACAUAAUACAUAAGGUUUUACUAUAAAUUCGGUCCUUAAAUUAGUAUAUAAAUAUAAUAUAUAUGAUAGGUUUAAUAUUUAUAAUUAUAUAUAAUAAUGUUAAACAUUAUUAUUAACAUUAAUAAUAUUAUUUAUUUUUUUAAAUAAAUAAUAUUGUAUUAUUAAAAAGUACAAGAAAUAAAUAAUUAUUAAAACCGUAAUUAAUACCGACCCAGGUGUGUAUAGUAGAGAAUAUGAAAGUGAAUGGAAAAAAUAUGGUUAAGGAACUCGGCAAAAACAACCCCCACGUUAGUCAAAAAAGGGUAAAAAAAGAAUAAGAUUAUACAACUGUUUACUAAAAACACAGCACUUUGCAGAUAUAAAAAUAUUAGUAUAAGGUGUGAAUCCUGCUCAAUGAUUUAAUAACUAAAAAUUAUUUUUAUAAAAGGAAAUAAUUCUAAAGAUUAGUCAAAUAGCAGCCUUAUUUUGAGGGUUAUAAUGUAGCGAAAUUCAUUGGCUACUAAUUAUAGUCCUGCAUGAAUGGAGUAAUGAUAUAAUAACUGUCUCAACCAUAUAUCCAGCGAAAUUGGAUUAGCAGUGAAGAUACUGCUAAACUUCAGUAAGACGGAAAGACCCUAUGCAGCUUUACUAUUAAUAAACAAACUGUUUUAUAUUUAUAUUUAUUCAGCUUAUAAAGUAAUAAAUAGUUAUAAAAUUGAGAAACUUUUUAAAUAUAAAUAUAAAACUUAUCUUAACUUUAUAUAAUGUUAUUAUAACUAUAUAAUAAUUUAUUAAGUUUUUUAUUAAAUAAAAAACAUAUAUUAUAUAUAAUUUAAAAUUAUAUAUAUAUUAAUAAUAAGAGAAAGUUUUUAUUAGAUAGUUUUGAUGGGGCGUCAUUCUCAUAUAAAUAAACUGAGUAAGUCCUUUAUAUGAUUAAUAAAUAAUUAAAAAAAAAUAUAAAAUAUAUAUUAAAUAUAUUAAUUAUAUAUAUACAAUUUAAAUUAUUUAUAUUAUUUUAUAUAAAUAAUCUAAAAUUGAAUAAAUAAUAGAAAAGAGAAGGUAUAGUAAAAUUGUCAUGAAAACAAUAAAUUUAAAUAAAUUUAUAAAAUAUAAUAGUAUAACUAUGCAUAAAUUACGAUCAUAAACAAAUGAAGUAAAUACGUAAGUAUGGUAUAAUGAACAUUUACUAUAAAUAGUAUUAGGUAAAGAUAACGGAUAAAAGUUACGCUAGGGAUAACAGGGUAAUAUAACGAAAUAGUACAUAUAGUAAGUUAUGUUUGCCACCUCGAUGUCGACUCGCCUUAUCCUAUUGGUUGUAGCAGCUAAUAAGGGUUUGACUGUUCGUCAAUUAAAAAGGCACGUGAGUUGGGUUAAAUACUUCGUGAGCAGUAUGGUUCCUAUCUUCUGAAGUAAAUAUUAUAAAUAUAAGUCUAUAAAUUAGUACGCAAGGAUCAUUUAUAAUUAAUCAAUGGUGAACUAUUAAAUAAUUUAUACUUUUUUAUUUUUAAAAAUAUAUAAAUUAUUAAUACAUAAUAACUUUUUUUAUAUAAAUUAUUUACGUAGUAUAGCUAAAUUAAUAAAUAAUAAGUAUUGAAAGCAUAUGAAAUACGAAUUUGUCUUAUGGAUAUAAUUAUAUAGUGAUUGUAUACUAUAAUCAUUAAAUAGUUAUUUGCAAAUAAUUUCUUUUUAGAAAUGUAUAAAUAACUAAUUAACUAUAUUGCAAUAUAACUUCUAAUCU